Protopterus annectens (West African lungfish) is the source of this 972-nucleotide long non-coding RNA. RefSeq lists it as uncharacterized. The record is from RefSeq and is a predicted model, not a curated record. The transcript is spliced from 4 exons. Lineage: Eukaryota; Metazoa; Chordata; Ceratodontiformes; Protopteridae.
UAACAUUCACAUUCAGGAAGUCGGCGAACCAAUGUACUUUAUGCAGCUGCUAUGAGUUUUUUCUCACCCCGUCGUGUCCCAUGUGUGUGUGUGUGUGUGGGGGGGUGAUCUAUGCAUGUAAUUGCUGGGUAAUGUACCACACCAGUCCGUUACGGAUGUGAUGUCUUUGUUUCUUGCCACCAUCACCUCUUCCACUUCCGAAACUUACAUUUUAAUACAGCCCAGAGUUUUCCAUUUUCCUGUGCCCCCACGACGCGUGCAAAUAACAGAACACAGCAGACUUCCCAUGAAGAUGUUAUCGGGAAGCCUUAAACAGAGAGCAACUCACGACGUGCCAGUUAGUGACAAAGCUGUGCACUACUCCCUGAAUGGUCAAGACGGCAGUGUAAUAACUGUGUCGGAAAUAACAGAAUGAGCUGAUAGUGUGGAUGCUGCUUGAACCUCAGAAGCCGGUGAGGUCCCAAAUGAAGGCUUUAUUUAUCUUUGAAAAGAGAAUCACUUCUCAUCCCAGCAGUCAUGUGGAGAAUAAAGCAUAGUUAGUCAAAAUGCCAAUUGCUUCUGAGGUUGCCAUGAAAGGAGCGACUCAACUUAUCCCAAGAUACAAUUACCUUGGAGUUAAAACUUAGCUUACUGGAUAGAUGGAUAUUUACUCUAACAAUUGUUCUAACUAAUUUGCAAAUCCCACUUAAAAACAUUGUUUUCACUGAAACAAAAUGUUCACAUUCAUUUUUGUAUUGACUUACACUUGUGUAAUGCUAGCAACCAUCUUUAAAAUGUCAAGAGUUUUUCCUUGUCUUGUUUCUUAGUCAUUUUUGGGGUUGGACAGUUGCAAUGAUUCUUAUGUACCUUAAAAGUAAGGUAGCUCAAAGUAUUACCUUUCUCAUUAUGUGAGGUGCAUUGUGACAUUUAUUUAGCAUUCUUAAGAGCUGUGUUAUAAUCAUUUUCUAACCAGCACCAUAAUUUAUGACAUUA